Physcomitrium patens is the source of this 2067-nucleotide long non-coding RNA. RefSeq lists it as uncharacterized. The record is from RefSeq and is a predicted model, not a curated record. Lineage: Eukaryota; Viridiplantae; Streptophyta; Bryopsida; Funariales; Funariaceae.
UGUAACGGAUAAUAUUCAUGUAAUCAUUCUGACAUAUGUGAAUGGUAUUGAUUUUAUUAUUAUGAUCAUGAUUAUGAUUAUUUGUUUUGUGAUUUUUAUUAAAAGGAAGUUUUAAGAAAAGUCAAUGUUUGUGUCAGAAUAGGUGUGAUUGCUUUCAUUGUUUCUUCUGGGGUGCAUAGAAAAGUGAGAGAUUUGGUUUUAAUUAAUUUUGUAAAUAUGUAAAACAAAAUUCUAUCAGAGGAUUCAAUUAUGAAGCUGAGCAGUUUGGUGGAAUGAAAUCACUAUGAUGGGCUUUUUUGUGUUCUUUCACAGAGUUCUGUAGAAAAGGGAUACAAACAACAAAUAACAAACAAACAAACCACAAAAAAACAAAACUACUGUCUCUCUCUCUCUCUCUCUCUCUCUCUCCCAUGUUUCACUAUGUUCAUUACAUUGAGUGGGAGAUACAAUCACAACCUAAAACUCCCUCUGACACUGAGUUUUGGGCUAUUCACUCAUUCAUUUGACCAUUCAUGAUGAUAAUUAUGACGAUGAUGAUGUUAUAUAUAUAUAUAUAUAUAUAUAUAGUUUUUAUUUAUUUGCACAAGGCCAUCAGGCUACUAUCUUUUACUGUACCAGGGUCUCUAUACCAUUUAAAUGAAGGGACUUUCUUGUGUGAUGAAAAAUACAUUGAAAAUCCUGAUCAAGAUAAGUCUGCCUCGGAGUUAAUAAAUUUAUUUAUUUUUCAUACAAAAAAUAAUACAAGGGAAGUGGUUUAUUUUUAAACUUCUUUCUUCCACCGAAGAAAACACUAUCAAAAUCACGCAAUGAAUUAAGUUCCCCUCUCUCAUUUCUCGCUGUAUCGACCACUUGAUGGACACACAUGGUUUCUGGUUUUUAAUUCAAGUGAGAAAACAGGCCCACGUCAAAGCCAUGCUGCUGGAGUCAAGUAUAACUACAAUAAUAGAUAUUAUUAUCACCACAUAAGCUUUCGUUUUUUAAAAUUUACUUUCAAAAGAGAGUUUGAAACCUGGUUUGGGAGCCAGGGCAGUUAAAACUAAAGGAGAGGGUUCAUUUAUCACCGACGUCAGCUGCGUCUCCUAUUCCAUACCGGACAGACACAUAAAUGGGUCCAUUUUUAUUUUUGUUUUUGUUUUUCUUCUAUUUUUUUUUUCAUGUAUGAUGAUGUGCUCAAAUUUGAUUUUUAUCUGUAUUUUGUAUAUUUAUUUGAAUAUAAUGAUUGAGUCUUUUUACUUUUAUUGUCAUUCUUUUAUGUUUUUUGUUGGUUGGUUGGGUGAUGCUAUGCUGCAUUGAUCACUAGUUGUUUGGUAUUGUGGACACCAGAUUUGCCUGUAAAAUAACUGGCAUCUGCAUGCAGCUCAUGGAAUUGCCAGCUCUCAUGUUUGCAUGUGCUGUGAUUGUGCUGGAUAUAUAUAUAUAUAUAUGUAUUAUCUGAUUUAACCCGUUUUAUUUUUUAAUUAUUCAUAAUUAAAUAAUGUGUAAAAGUUAGAUAGUUGUUUAACUGCCACCUGUUGUUUGUUAAGGUUAUUCCUAUCCCAGUGUUUUUGGUUUAUUAUUUUUAUUAUGUGAUUAUCAAUUUUUCACCAUUUUUUAUAGGUAAAAGCUACAAGACAUUUGAACUUCAAAUAUUAUUGAGAAGGAAUCACAAAAAUUGGAAAAUUGUAUUUAAAGUGUACCGUGAAAUUUCUCCUUGCUAAUUUACCAAAAUGAGACUAUUGAAAUGAAUGUUAACAUUUUGAUAAAAAUAAAUAGAAAUAAAGAUCUGAAUGUUUAUACAUAUGUCUAUUGCUUGGUAUGGAGCAAUAUUUUAUGAAAUUGGCAUAAGAGAUAAUAUUAUAGUAAACUUUCAAAUUUUAUGCAUGAUAGUAUGCAGAGGAAAUCCUAUUGGUUCUAAAAAUCCCUCAAUAUGGCAACUCUUUCAACAAAGCUCAAGAAUGGCAACCUUAGAACAAAUAUAUUUUAUAUUUAUAGCUUAGGGCAAGCUUGCUUAGGUUCUAAGUUUGAAAUAUGUUUAACAAACAACUGAGAAAUAGAAUGAAUGUCAACUGACACAAAUUGGUGAGUGUA